UUAAGCGACUAAGCGUACACGGUGGAUGCCCUGGCAGUCAGAGGCGAUGAAGGACGUGCUAAUCUGCGAAAAGCGUCGGCGAGGUGAUAUGAACCUUUGACCCGGCGAUGUCCGAAUGGGGAAACCCAGUGCAAUCCGUUGCACUAUCGUUAACUGAAUACAUAGGUUAACGAGGCGAACCGGGGGAACUGAAACAUCUAAGUACCCCGAGGAAAAGAAAUCAACCGAGAUUCCCCCAGUAGCGGCGAGCGAACGGGGAGCAGCCCGGAGUCUGAAUCAGCUUGUGUGUUAGUGGAACGGUCUGGAAAGUCCGACGGUACAGGGUGAUAGUCCCGUACACGAAAGUGCACUUGCUGUGAACUCGAAGAGUAGGGCGGGACACGUGGUAUCCUGUCUGAAUAUGGGGGGACCAUCCUCCAAGGCUAAAUACUCCUGACUGACCGAUAGUGAACCAGUACCGUGAGGGAAAGGCGAAAAGAACCCCGGCGAGGGGAGUGAAAAAGAACCUGAAACCGUGUACGUACAAGCAGUGGGAGCCUCUUUUAUGGGGUGACUGCGUACCUUUUGUAUAAUGGGUCAGCGACUUAUAUUCUGUAGCAAGGUUAACCGUAUAGGGGAGCCGAAGGGAAACCGAGUCUUAACUGGGCGUUAAGUUGCAGGGUAUAGACCCGAAACCCGGUGAUCUAGCCAUGGGCAGGUUGAAGGUUGGGUAACACUAACUGGAGGACCGAACCGACUAAUGUUGAAAAAUUAGCGGAUGACCUGUGGCUGGGGGUGAAAGGCCAAUCAAACCGGGAGAUAGCUGGUUCUCCCCGAAAGCUAUUUAGGUAGCGCCUCGUGAACUCAUCUUCGGGGGUAGAGCACUGUUUCGGCUAGGGGGCCAUCCCGGCUUACCAACCCGAUGCAAACUACGAAUACCGAAGAAUGUUAUCACGGGAGACACACGGCGGGUGCUAACGUCCGUCGUGAAGAGGGAAACAACCCAGACCGCCAGCUAAGGUCCCAAAGUCAUGGUUAAGUGGGAAACGAUGUGGGAAGGCACAGACAGCCAGGAUGUUGGCUUAGAAGCAGCCAUCAUUUAAAGAAAGCGUAAUAGCUCACUGGUCGAGUCGGCCUGCGCGGAAGAUGUAACGGGGCUAAACCAUGCACCGAAGCUGCGGCAGCGACGCUUAUGCGUUGUUGGGUAGGGGAGCGUUCUGUAAGCCGUUGAAGGUGUGCUGUGAGGCAUGCUGGAGGUAUCAGAAGUGCGAAUGCUGACAUAAGUAACGAUAAAGCGGGUGAAAAGCCCGCUCGCCGGAAGACCAAGGGUUCCUGUCCAACGUUAAUCGGGGCAGGGUGAGUCGACCCCUAAGGCGAGGCCGAAAGGCGUAGUCGAUGGGAAACAGGUUAAUAUUCCUGUACUUGGUGUUACUGCGAAGGGGGGACGGAGAAGGCUAUGUCAGCCGGGCGACGGUUGUCCCGGUUUAAGCAUGUAGGCGGAGGUUCCAGGUAAAUCCGGUACUUUAUUAACGCUGAGGUGUGAUGACGAGGCACUACGGUGCUGAAGUGAUAAAUGCCCUGCUUCCAGGAAAAGCCUCUAAGCAUCAGGUAACACGAAAUCGUACCCCAAACCGACACAGGUGGUCAGGUAGAGAAUACCAAGGCGCUUGAGAGAACUCGGGUGAAGGAACUAGGCAAAAUGGUGCCGUAACUUCGGGAGAAGGCACGCUGAUGUGUAGGUGAAGCCCCUGCGGGUGGAGCUGAAAUCAGUCGAAGAUACCAGCUGGCUGCAACUGUUUAUUAAAAACACAGCACUGUGCAAACACGAAAGUGGACGUAUACGGUGUGACGCCUGCCCGGUGCCGGAAGGUUAAUUGAUGGGGUUAGCGGCAACGCGAAGCUCUUGAUCGAAGCCCCGGUAAACGGCGGCCGUAACUAUAACGGUCCUAAGGUAGCGAAAUUCCUUGUCGGGUAAGUUCCGACCUGCACGAAUGGCGUAAUGAUGGCCAGGCUGUCUCCACCCGAGACUCAGUGAAAUUGAACUCGCUGUGAAGAUGCAGUGUACCCGCGGCAAGACGGAAAGACCCCGUGAACCUUUACUAUAGCUUGACACUGAACACUGGUCCUUGAUGUGUAGGAUAGGUGGGAGGCUUUGAAGCGUGGACGCCAGUCUGCGUGGAGCCGCCCUUGAAAUACCACCCUUUAAUGGCUGGUGUUCUAACGUGGACCCGUAAUCCGGGUUGCGGACAGUGUCUGGUGGGUAGUUUGACUGGGGCGGUCUCCUCCCAAAGAGUAACGGAGGAGCACGAAGGUUGGCUAAUCCUGGUCGGACAUCAGGAGGUUAGUGCAAUGGCAUAAGCCAGCUUGACUGCGAGCGUGACGGCGCGAGCAGGUGCGAAAGCAGGUCAUAGUGAUCCGGUGGUUCUGAAUGGAAGGGCCAUCGCUCAACGGAUAAAAGGUACUCCGGGGAUAACAGGCUGAUACCGCCCAAGAGUUCAUAUCGACGGCGGUGUUUGGCACCUCGAUGUCGGCUCAUCACAUCCUGGGGCUGAAGUAGGUCCCAAGGGUAUGGCUGUUCGCCAUUUAAAGUGGUACGCGAGCUGGGUUUAGAACGUCGUGAGACAGUUCGGUCCCUAUCUGCCGUGGGCGCUGGAGAAUUGAGGGGGGCUGCUCCUAGUACGAGAGGACCGGAGUGGACGCAUCACUGGUGUUCGGGUUGUCAUGCCAAUGGCACUGCCCGGUAGCUAAAUGCGGAAGAGAUAAGUGCUGAAAGCAUCUAAGCACGAAACUUGCCCCGAGAUGAGUUCUCCCUGAGACUUUAAGUCUCCUGAAGGAACGUUGAAGACGACGACGUUGAUAGGUCGGGUGUGUAAGCGCAGCGAUGCGUUGAGCUAACCGAUACUAAUGAACCGUGAGGCUUAACCUU
This 2905-nucleotide ribosomal RNA is filed under the name Enterobacter cloacae. Its description in RNAcentral is "bacterial LSU rRNA". It matches the Rfam family "Bacterial large subunit ribosomal RNA". The record is from RNAcentral. Lineage: Bacteria; Pseudomonadati; Pseudomonadota; Gammaproteobacteria; Enterobacterales; Enterobacteriaceae. RNAcentral also lists the same sequence under 1 other name.